GGUUAAGGCGCUUUAAAUUCGUUCGUGUCAAAAUGUAAAGGAAGCAAAACGACGAAUUGGAAACCUGUGGGCGAGAAACGGAACAGGAAGGAGAAUUUCGAGGGUUUGCUGUGCAAAACGUACUGUUUGUCGCUCAGAAAUAAAAACUGCCACCAGUGAUGGAGUUGCAACGUUGCGGAAAGAAAAACGGCCGAUGUCUGUGCAAAGAGCAAAAAAAGAAACGGAGCAAGAAUCAAACCAGACCGAAAAUAGGUCCCGUGAAAAAUUGACCCUGGACGUUUUUCGUUUUCGCUGUGACGUAGAAGGAUACAUUACAAACGUGAAAUUUCCCCUGAAAUUCCAACGCAAUUUGAGAAGUCGAGUUACCAGCUCGUUCCCUUCCGUGUAGGAUGGUAAUUACAAGCAUUUCGAACGACGCAGAAUCGGAAAUCAGGUGAAAAUAAACGGAAAAUUCGGACAACUUUCGAUGGUUUCCGUGCAAAUUCCCAACAGAGGAACGAAUGUGUCUAAAAAUACGCGGAGAACGUGCAAUUUUGGCGGAGAAUCCCCGAUCGAGCAACAAUCCGCGGCUCGCAUUCGUUCCAAUUGGAAUCUAUGAUUAUUUAAUUCAAGAAAAUCAACAUCAUACGAUAUACACUACACGUAUCACAGUUUAAAUAAACUGCACCGCAUCUCAAUCUUGAAUUUAUAUUCACACUGCUGGAACGUGUGUAUCGUCAAGGUCUUACCCGGCAGGCCUGGAAAACUUCUGUUUUUCAAAUGAUUUCCAUGUCUGCAAGAAGAAAUCACAGACAAGCUAUGGAAUAAACUUGUCAUCUUAUUAACAUAAUCACCUAAGUCGAUGU
RNAcentral lists this unclassified non-coding RNA (845 nucleotides) under Bombus terrestris (buff-tailed bumblebee). RNAcentral describes it as "misc RNA ENSBTSG00005026240.1". The record is from RNAcentral. Lineage: Eukaryota; Metazoa; Arthropoda; Insecta; Hymenoptera; Apidae.